AGAAGAUAAAAAAAAUAAAGCCCAAAAUGACAAGUCGACCUACGUCGCCACCGCCCAAACCCGAUGACGAUCUGGACCUUUCUUCCUGACCAGCUCCGUUCACUAAUCAAGCUAAAGCUGCCACCACCGUCGCUGG
Hibiscus syriacus is the source of this 136-nucleotide long non-coding RNA. RefSeq lists it as uncharacterized. The record is from RefSeq and is a predicted model, not a curated record. The transcript has 3 exons. NCBI's taxonomy places the organism in Eukaryota, Viridiplantae, Streptophyta, Magnoliopsida, Malvales, Malvaceae.